Molecule: ribosomal RNA, 253 nt
Filed under: uncultured bacterium
Lineage: Bacteria
Description: partial 16S ribosomal RNA
Rfam family: Bacterial small subunit ribosomal RNA
Source: RNAcentral
UACGUAGGGUGCAAGCGUUAAUCGGAAUUACUGGGCGUAAAGCGUGCGCAGGCGGUUGUGCAAGACCGAUGUGAAAUCCCCGGGCUUAACCUGGGAAUGGCAUUGGUGACUGCACGGCUAGAGUGUGUCAGAGGGGGGUAGAAUUCCACGUGUAGCAGCGAAAUGCGUAGAGAUGUGGAGGAAUACCGAUGGCGAAGGCAGCCCCCUGGGAUAACACUGACGCUCAUGCACGAAAGCGUGGGGAGCAAACAGG